CGAGCGAGGCGGCCCGCAAGGGCCAGUCGAGCGGCGAACGGGUGAGUAACGCGUGGAUAACCUGCCCUGAGGUGGGGAAUAACCCGGGGAAACUCGGGCUAAGACCGCAUGAUACCGAGAGGUCAAAGAGGGCUCGCAAGGGCUCUUGCCACAGGAGGGGUCCGCGUUCGAUUAGCUAGUUGGUAGGGUAAUGGCCUACCAAGGCGACGAUCGAUAGCCGGCCUGAGAGGGUGAUCGGCCACACUGGAACUGAGACACGGUCCAGACUCCUACGGGAGGCAGCAGUGGGGAAUUUUGCGCAAUGGGCGAGAGCCUGACGCAGCAACGCCGCGUGGAGGAUGAAGGUCUUUGGAUUGUAAACUCCUGUCAGCGGGGAAAAAGGGACCCGACCUAAUACGUCGGGAACUUGAUUGUACCCGCAGAGGAAGCCCCGGCUAACUCUGUGCCAGCAGCCGCGGUAAUACAGAGGGGGCAAGCGUUAUUCGGAAUUAUUGGGCGUAAAGGGCGCGUAGGCGGCUUGGCAAGUCAAAGGUGAAAUCCCUCGGCUCAACUGAGGAACUGCCUUUGAAACUGCCUGGCUUGAGGCCGGGAGGGGGUAGCGGAAUUCCCAGUGUAGCGGUGAAAUGCGUAGAUAUUGGGAGGAACACCAGUGGCGAAGGCGGCUACCUGGACCGGUUCUGACGCUGAUGCGCGAAAGCGUGGGUAGCAAACAGGAUUAGAUACCCUGGUAGUCCACGCUGUAAACGAUGGGUGCUCGGUG
This 760-nucleotide ribosomal RNA is filed under the name uncultured Acidobacteriota bacterium. RNAcentral's name for it is "bacterial SSU rRNA". It matches the Rfam family "Bacterial small subunit ribosomal RNA", at positions 63 to 822 of the family's 1533-position model. Lineage: Bacteria; Pseudomonadati; Acidobacteriota. The record is from RNAcentral.